Molecule: non-coding RNA, 2881 nt
Organism: Rattus norvegicus (Norway rat)
Lineage: Eukaryota; Metazoa; Chordata; Mammalia; Rodentia; Muridae
Source: RefSeq, a predicted model, not a curated record
UCACGUGUGUGUCAGGUGGUGGUGGAGAGUUUGUCCCAGAAUCCUCUGCGGGAGUGCCACUCCUCUGGUCUCACAGCCAUUCUCAGACCUAGAGUUACAUUUCGGCUUUGGGCAUGCACCACCUGUUGUGCUUUUGACUUUUUACACAUCUAUCUCCAUGCUUUUAGUUUUUAUUUUCUCAAUCCUUCCUGAACUUUUUUUGCCCCAUCUCUGCCUUAUUGAAAACAGCCCCCUUUUUGUUUUCUUUCUUCCAUUUCCUGGCUUACGCUGAGCAGGUGCUUCGUAGAUGCUAUAUAUCCAUAUGAAUUAAUUUGUUCACUCGGUUGUUAAUCAUUCGAAAACACAUCUGCUGAGCUUAGGUCUUGAACGGGAGACUGCGGCUCAUCCAGCUUGUCUGCUUAGAAGCUGUGGAGGCUGUGGUGUGGGUAGGUGUCUGUUACUAAAGGACAAGCAGGAGCCCUGGCCACAGGAAACACAGCUGGAUUAUUCACGGCACCCGAUUGUAUGCUCAGCCUUGGUCCCAUCCCGUCUGCCUGUGCUGAGUCUGCUCGCUGUGUCUCUCUUUUCCAGGAGGCUUUGGUGACCUUGGUGACAACUGGCUCUCAGGUGUUUGCACCGACUGCUCUGUAUCCCCACACUGCCCCUGCUCCUCAACCUCUCUGUCCACUCUCACCGUCCUAGCCUCUGUCUCUACACCUUCUGAGUCCACGGCAUCUGAUCUGAAUCUUAUGAGCAGUUGUCUCUCAGUUUUGUCUUCAUUCCUACAAGGGUAAACAGGGCUCAUGAGUCUAUUUUCUCAUAAUCUCAGCCUAUUUGAGAUUGGAUUAUCAAACUCAGACUCAGGGGAGAAUAAUUCCAAUUUGUAAACAACCCAAUAAAAAUACCUCCUUUUUGUUAUAUUUUUGUUCGUUUGUUUUGCUUCUUUCUUUGAUGACAUUUUCUUUCCAAAGUCAGGAAAUCGUUAUCUCUCCUGACAGGAAAAUUGUCUCUUGAGUGCUUUUCUGAGCAGUCACUGUCUUCAACGAUUGGCUUUUCUUACUCUGAAAUACUAAUCUUCACUAUUAGCUUCCACCAUCUUGUCUGAAAGCUUGUGGGCAUCUGGGAGUAAGGUGUGGUCACCUGUAGUGCUUUGAGGCCAUUCUGAGUGUCAGCAGUAGACUGUAGGGCCUGCUUUAAAUACUGGUAAAUAAGAGAUUUCAGGACAGAAAGGACGGUGUGGAAUCAGCUGUGGAAGAUACUCCACUCUGUGGGAGAUACUCCUCUCUGUGGGAGAUCUGCCAUAACUGACAGGAUGGCAUCUGUGGUAGAGAGCUAUGCUCUGAGAAAAAUGGCCUUUGUCUUCAGCAGGUUGGCUGUGUCUGUCUGAAGCAGGUGAACCAUCCAAGUUCAGCAAGAGAAGAAGAUGGACAGGGUCUUUGAACCCUGACUUAAGUAACCAGCCACCACCCACAGCCAUUUGUAUGCAGUUUGACCCUAAGUGCAUGUGAAUGGAGUCUGUUCUCUUUCUUUACGAAAAGUUCGGGGAAGGGCCACAGGAGACACGUCUGGAAAACGCAACAAAUUCACACUAAAGAGACCCGAGUUUUGUGCUAUGUUUCUAAUUAUCUGUGCCCAUAUCUACCAUAUCUGACUGACCUCAAAUACUGGAUUUCUCAGGGGACUGCAUUGGUGAAUGUCGAGGAUGGGGAAGAUGAGUUUGAUUAUGACUCAAGUGGCAGAAGUGACUUUCCUGAUUGCCUGCAGAUUGAUGACAUGAAGGUCAAGGUGGAGGUGAGAUCAACGACAACCAAGAUGGCAACCGAGAAGAGAAAUUUAGUCAGACUUUGGCAACUUUGUGAGUUCUUCUUUCAUCCAUCCUUCUCCACCCUUUUACUUCUACCCUUUCAACCCCCAAACGCCUGAUAGAAGAGGAAAACUAAUGGAGGGAACGGGGUUAUGUUAUUUUUAGACUACUUCCUACUGAUUAGGGUUGUCAAGUUCUUUGGGGCAAGCUUGAUCUUCACUGUUAGGGUAUUCAAUUUCUUCUUGUUAUUGUUUCUUCUUUGUGCAUGACUACUUAACAACCCAUGACAAACAACAACAAAAAACCAACCAACAACCAACAGAAACUACCACAUACCUCUUGGGGCAUAUCUGUAUCUGUAUCUGUAUCUGUAUCUGUAUCUGUAUCUGUAUCUGUAUCUGUAUCUGUAUCUGUAUCUGUAUCAUCUGUAUCUGUGUCUGUGUCUGUGUCUGUGUCUGUGUCUGUGUCUGUGUCUGUGUCUGUGUCUGUAUCUAUCUAUCUAUCUAUCUAUCUAUCUAUCUAUCUAUCUAUCUAUCUAUUUCUUAAAAGUCUCCAGAAUUCCAAACAUUACACAAUCCCAGAAAAAUCUGCUGUUGGCAAAAUUGCGCCCCUGCUAGAGUGCUAGAGCACAAGGCAAAUCAUGGUCAGCUUCUCUGGAUAAUCUGAAGCAGCCUCACAUCCCAUACCUGGGAUUAAAACGAAAGCACAUUAUUAUAAUAUUUCUAUGUUUGAGUAAAGGUAUGACAAGGAGGGAACAUGUCCAUACUAUACUAGAAGAUGUUACCACCGGUUCCAGGAGAAAUCAGACUGUAGUUCUUAAGACCAAAGACUGUUCAACUGAUGUGGAGGUGGAAGUUGACCCAAGAUAUAAAACAUGUCCCAAAUAAACCAUUAGAGGUAUGAAAAGUUAAAAGGUAAUAGAGGAGGGGGGUGUAAUCAAAGUAUAUAAUAAGCAUGCAUAAAAAUGUCACUGUGAUACUCCUUGUCUUGUAGCUGUGACAAAAUCACCUGACAAAGAUUAUUUAUGGAAAGUAGAGUUUAUUGUGACUCACAGUUGGAGUGUUCAAUCCACCAUGGUAGGGAAGGCAUCGAGGCAGC